RNAcentral lists this ribosomal RNA (465 nucleotides) under Vreelandella stevensii. RNAcentral describes it as "partial 16S ribosomal RNA". It matches the Rfam family "Bacterial small subunit ribosomal RNA", at positions 338 to 795 of the family's 1533-position model. Lineage: Bacteria; Pseudomonadati; Pseudomonadota; Gammaproteobacteria; Oceanospirillales; Halomonadaceae. The record is from RNAcentral.
CCUACGGGAGGCAGCAGUGGGGAAUAUUGGACAAUGGGGGCAACCCUGAUCCAGCCAUGCCGCGUGUGUGAAGAAGGCCCUCGGGUUGUAAAGCACUUUCAGUGAGGAAGAACGCCUGGUGGUUAAUACCCAUCAGGAAAGACAUCACUCACAGAAGAAGCACCGGCUAACUCCGUGCCAGCAGCCGCGGUAAUACGGAGGGUGCGAGCGUUAAUCGGAAUUACUGGGCGUAAAGCGCGCGUAGGUGGCUUGAUAAGCCGGUUGUGAAAGCCCCGGGCUCAACCUGGGAACGGCAUCCGGAACUGUCAAGCUAGAGUGCAGGAGAGGAAGGUAGAAUUCCCGGUGUAGCGGUGCAAUGCGUAGAGAUCGGGAGGAAUACCAGUGGCGAAGGCGGCCUUCUGGACUGACACUGACACUGAGGUGCGAAAGCGUGGGUAGCAAACAGGAUUAGAUACCCGGGUAGUC